This 134-nucleotide small nuclear RNA is filed under the name Sciurus vulgaris (Eurasian red squirrel). Its description in RNAcentral is "U4 spliceosomal RNA (ENSSVLG00005012600.1)". It matches the Rfam family "U4 spliceosomal RNA". Rfam says of the family: U4 small nuclear RNA (U4 snRNA) is a component of the major U2-dependent spliceosome. Lineage: Eukaryota; Metazoa; Chordata; Mammalia; Rodentia; Sciuridae. The record is from Rfam by way of RNAcentral.
AGCUUUGUGCAGUGGCAGUAUGGUUGCCAAUGAGGUUUAUGUGAGGUAUGAUUAUUGCUAAUUGAAAACUUUUUCCAAAACCCCACCACGACUUGCAAUAUAGUUGGCAUUGGCAAUUUUUGAGUCUGUACAGG